RNAcentral lists this ribosomal RNA (798 nucleotides) under Neottiosporina cylindrica. Its description in RNAcentral is "partial 28S large subunit ribosomal RNA". It matches the Rfam family "Eukaryotic large subunit ribosomal RNA", at positions 88 to 903 of the family's 3401-position model. Lineage: Eukaryota; Fungi; Ascomycota; Dothideomycetes; Pleosporales; Massarinaceae. The record is from RNAcentral.
GGCGAGUGAAGCGGCAAUAGCUCAAAUUUGAAAUCUGGCUCCUUUUAGGGGUCCGAGUUGUAAUUUGCAGAGGGUGCUUUGGCGUUGGUAGCGGUCUAAGUUCCUUGGAACAGGACAUCGCAGAGGGUGAGAAUCCCGUUUGUGGUCGCAUGCCUUCGCCGUGUAAAGCCCCUUCGACGAGUCGAGUUGUUUGGGAAUGCAGCUCUAAAUGGGAGGUAAAUUUCUUCUAAAGCUAAAUACUGGCCAGAGACCGAUAGCGCACAAGUAGAGUGAUCGAAAGAUGAAAAGCACUUUGGAAAGAGAGUCAAACAGCACGUGAAAUUGUUGAAAGGGAAGCGCUUGCAGCCAGACUUGCCCGUAGUUGCUCACCUAGGCUUUUGCCUGGGGCAUUCUUCUGCGGGCAGGCCAGCAUCAGUUUGGGCGGUCGGAUAAAGGUCUCUGUCAUGUAGCUUCCUUCGGGAAGAACUUAUAGGGGAGACGAAAUGCGACCAGCCUGGACUGAGGUCCGCGCAUCUGCUAGGAUGCUGGCGUAAUGGCUGUAAGCGGCCCGUCUUGAAACACGGACCAAGGAGUCUAACAUCUAUGCGAGUGUUUGGGUGUCAAGCCCGAACGCGUAAUGAAAGUGAACGGAGGUGGGAACCCUUUGGGUGCACCAUCGACCGAUCCUGAUGUCUUCGGAUGGAUUUGAGUAAGAGCAUAGCUGUUGGGACCCGAAAGAUGGUGAACUAUGCUUGAAUAGGGUGAAGCCAGAGGAAACUCUGGUGGAGGCUCGCAGCGGUUCUGACGUGCAAAUCGAUC